AUUGAACGCUGGCGGCAUGCCUUACACAUGCAAGUCGAACGGCAGCACGGGGCAACCUGGUGGCGAGUGGCGAACGGGUGAGUAAUGCAUCGGAACGUGCCAUUGAGUGGGGGAUAACGUAGCGAAAGUUGCGCUAAUACCGCAUAUUCUGUGAGCAGGAAAGCAGGGGACCGCAAGGCCUUGCGCUCUUUGAGCGGCCGAUGUCAGAUUAGCUAGUUGGUGAGGUAACGGCUUACCAAGGCGACGAUCUGUAGCGGGUCUGAGAGGAUGAUCCGCCACACUGGAACUGAGACACGGCCCAGACUCCUACGGGAGGCAGCAGUGGGGAAUUUUGGACAAUGGGCGCAAGCCUGAUCCAGCCAUUCCGCGUGAGUGAAGAAGGCCUUC
This 387-nucleotide ribosomal RNA is filed under the name uncultured bacterium. RNAcentral describes it as "bacterial SSU rRNA". It matches the Rfam family "Bacterial small subunit ribosomal RNA", at positions 30 to 419 of the family's 1533-position model. The record is from RNAcentral.